UUCCUGUUGUCCCCCGCGGCGCGGCGCGGCGCGCGGACGUACGCGCGGUGCACUCGAUCCCCUCGGUUUUCGCCUUGGCGGUGAGCGAGCUCGAGACGUCCAGGUCGCGGUUCCUGCGUCGAGGCCGCCUUGGCGAUGACCGAGAGUCCGCGACGCCCAGGCCGCGGGGGCGGCGUCGAGGCCGCCUUGGCGGUGAGCCACCCCCACGACGUCGCCUCCCCAUCGACGCCGCCGAACGAGGCCUACCAUCCAAUACGCCUACCAAUACGCCUCGUCCUCCCUCUUCGUCGCCGCCGAACCCACGCCUUCGACGCCGAGCGUCCCCACGUCCGGUCGCCGAGCCUGCUCUCCGCGCCGGCACCACGACGGAGGAGGAGGAGGCCGCGGCGGCCGGUGAGGACGAGGACACCGGCGCCCAGGUCGCGCCCAUCGUCAAGCUGCGCCCGCCCGCCCGCCGCCGCACGCUCCUCCACCCGCCGUCGCCGCGCGCGCCGUCCUCUGCCCGUUGCCGCGCCCGCCGUCCUCCAUCCGGCGCCAGCCCGCGCGCUCGUUGGUGCGCUCCCGCCGAUCGCCGGAGCGUUCCCGCCCGCCCGCCGGUGCGCGCCCGCCUGCCAUCCUCCAAGCGCCGGUGCUUGCCCGCCCGUCUGCCAUCCUCCGAGCGCCGGUGCUCGCCACAUGGAGCGACAGAAGCGACGCCACCGAUGUCGCAUGGAGCGACGACAGUGAUGCCGCCGGCGGAUCGUUGCCCGGCUCGCUUCGCAUCGUCGCCACCUCUGCAUUCGGACGGAGAACGCUCCGGCGCUGCGUGCCAUGCCAUGGACUCGUACUUGAAGGAGAAACUGGUGACUUGGCUCAGCCCCGCGGCACUGACGCUCCACCAGAUAACAUGGGAUGAUCCUGCCUCCUUGCUAGAGAAAGAUUGUGGCAUAUAAAGUUUGUGGCCAACUCCCUGUUGAUUUGAUUUUGUCUCCAUUUAUUUAGGCAGUGCAUCCAAUCAGGAUCAGGAAUCUGAUAGACUUCAAGAGAAGAUGGGGUGUAGGUCGCCGGUGCUUUGGCUACUUCCAUCUAGCAAUACCAGCCUGGCCAGUGGUUGGAGGGCAGGAACCAAGCGAUUCAUUGCAUUGGUCCUACGCUUAGUCUUCGUCUACUCAGUUGAUGACCAUGGGUACCGCAUCCCUUCACCAUGAAGAAGCUCAAUGGGCGUGGCCUGUAGGUCUUUACAUGCUCCUCUUGUUGCCAUUGCCAUCUCUCAUACUAAACGAUUUUGUGGUUCAGGUUUUAGAGUCGUAGCUGUCUUAAUCGGAUAUGCCUAGCCUAUUAAUUUUCUUAUGGUGUGCAAAUAAUGACGCUCCAACCAUAGCUCUGAAAUAAUUGCAUAUACGGGCAGAGAAAUCUCCAGAAAAUGCUAUUUUUCCUCUCUUUUCCUCCUAUGCAAAACAAAAAAGAAUUCUACUGUUAACACUUGCAGUGGCUACCCACUAGCAAUAGCAGGCUUGUUUGCCUUAUAGUGUGCUUGAUCUUUUUUUUUCUCGAACACGCAGGAGAGCUGCGUAUCUUUGUAUUAAGAGAGAAUAAGAGUGGUCCAAAUACAUAGAACACUCCACACCUUGGACCAGAGUCAGGAGCGUGCAGAUCUAAAAAAGACUAUUACAAAAAACACACAAAGUUGGGACCAGACCACAUCCAAACCAGCUAAUGGGCAUGCCUUUCCCCCAACUCAAGGCUUAGGGCAGCGAGCCUCUUAGCCCCUGAGAAUUGCCAAAGGUGUGAUUCCUCCUUGAAGGCUUGCACCGCGACCUGUAGGUUUGGAGACGCUCCCUCGAAAUCACAUGCAUUCCUAUGCUUCCAAAUGGUCCAGGCUCCGAGGAUGCACAAAGAAUUAAACCCCUUCCUGUGUUGUUUCUGAAGUUUCCUCUCAGCUUUUUUUCCACCAAUCAGCAAAGCUAACCGUCCUUGUUGGUGUUAAGCGAGCCAGGUUUAAUGGCUGCAAAAUGGCAAACCAGAAUUACCUAGCAAAAACACAGGAAGUGAGGAUGUGCUGAAUAUUUUCCUCUUCCUGGUCGCAGAGCGGGCAGCGCUCAGGAUGAGGGAGGCCUCUUUUUUGUAGACGGUCUGCAGUCCAACAACGGUUUCGAAUGGCCAACCACACAAAAGUUUUACAUUUCCCGGAGAAUUCCCCUGAAGCUUCAGGUUUCCACCGAUGGAUGUCAUCUGUAUUAUUUAGGUUAACACCAGCUAACAUGUCCCACAGCUCAAGGUAUUCUACCAGGCCAAGCCACCCUAGAGCUCCUUUUAUAUCUGCCACCCAGGAAUUCCCCAGCAAAGCCUCAGCCACUGUUCUCUUUUUUCUGAAUUUUAGAGGUACACAACUGACAACAUUUGGGGCCAGAUCCUCUAGACAGCUGCCAUGCAACC
This is a long non-coding RNA of Panicum virgatum (switchgrass), 2415 nucleotides long. RefSeq lists it as uncharacterized. The transcript is spliced from 4 exons. The record is from RefSeq and is a predicted model, not a curated record. Lineage: Eukaryota; Viridiplantae; Streptophyta; Magnoliopsida; Poales; Poaceae.